UUUAGGUGUUGUUUUUUGUCUUAAUUCAUUCUGUCUACCAAUUACUUUCACAUUUGAUACAUCUAUGUAAUGCCUAAUAUUCUAAAGUAGGCACAUGUAUCUACAAGCUAUGCUGCAGCUCUUUCAUAAUUCAUAGUUUGAGUUCUUGUUUGUUCA
Molecule: long non-coding RNA, 156 nt
Organism: Sphaeramia orbicularis (orbiculate cardinalfish)
Lineage: Eukaryota; Metazoa; Chordata; Actinopteri; Kurtiformes; Apogonidae
Exons: 3
Source: RefSeq, a predicted model, not a curated record